This is a long non-coding RNA of Ostrinia furnacalis (Asian corn borer), 269 nucleotides long. RefSeq lists it as uncharacterized. The transcript has 3 exons. The record is from RefSeq and is a predicted model, not a curated record. NCBI's taxonomy places the organism in Eukaryota, Metazoa, Arthropoda, Insecta, Lepidoptera, Crambidae.
ACCUCACGGCGCACUGAACGUGAUUAAUUUCUAUCCAGUGCGUAUGGGACCUAAUCGACCUCAUACAAUAUUGUCUACGUCAUUAUGCUAGGCUUCGUAAGAGAAGCAAUUUGAUAUAUUUGUCUCUGUUGUACUCAUAGAAAUGUUAAAAUAGUCGCACCCCGCACAGAGUGAGAGAACGCGAUUAUGACUGCCGCACCUGCGGUAAGUUCUGCAUGUGGCUUUUUAGACCUCAUAACGCAGUGAGCGUGUUAAAGGUUAAUAAUAAU